RNAcentral lists this ribosomal RNA (848 nucleotides) under uncultured beta proteobacterium. RNAcentral's name for it is "bacterial SSU rRNA". It matches the Rfam family "Bacterial small subunit ribosomal RNA", at positions 58 to 901 of the family's 1533-position model. The record is from RNAcentral. Lineage: Bacteria; Pseudomonadati; Pseudomonadota; Betaproteobacteria.
CAAGUCGAGCGGCAGCGCGGGGGCAACCCUGGCGGCGAGCGGCGAACGGGUGAGUAAUACAUCGGAACGUACCCUGGAGUGGGGGAUAACUCAGCGAAAGCUGGGCUAAUACCGCAUAUGCUCUUUGGAGGAAAGUGGGGGACCUGAAAGGGCCUCAUGCUUUAGGAGCGGCCGAUGUCCGAUUAGCUAGUUGGUGGGGUAAAGGCUUACCAAGGCGACGAUCGGUAGCUGGUCUGAGAGGAUGAUCAGCCACACUGGGACUGAGACACGGCCCANACUCCUACGGGAGGCAGCAGUGGGGAAUUUUGGACAAUGGGGGCAACCCUGAUCCAGCCAUGCCGCGUGCGGGAAGAAGGCCUUCGGGUUGUAAACCGCUUUUAUCUGGGAAGAAAAGGCGUCGACGAAUAAUCGGCGUUCUUGACGGUACUGGAGGAAUAAGCACCGGCUAACUACGUGCCAGCAGCCGCGGUAAUACGUAGGGUGCGAGCGUUAAUCGGAAUUACUGGGCGUAAAGCGUGCGCAGGCGGUUCGCUGUGUCUGCUGUGAAAGCCCCGGGCUCAACCUGGGAAUGGCAGUGGAAACUGGCGAGCUGGAGUGUGGCAGAGGGGGGUGGAAUUCCACGUGUAGCAGUGAAAUGCGUAGAGAUGUGGAGGAACACCGAUGGCGAAGGCAGCCCCCUGGGCUGACACUGACGCUCAGGCACGAAAGCGUGGGGAGCAAACAGGAUUAGAUACCCUGGUAGUCCACGCCCUAGACGAUGGCAACUGGGUGUUGGGGGAGCGAUUCCUCACUACCGUAGCUAACGCGUGAAGUUGCCCCCCUGGGGAGUACGGCCCCCAGGUUAAACU